RNAcentral lists this long non-coding RNA (555 nucleotides) under Anas platyrhynchos platyrhynchos (common mallard). Its description in RNAcentral is "lncRNA (ENSAPLG00000026466.1)". The record is from RNAcentral. Lineage: Eukaryota; Metazoa; Chordata; Aves; Anseriformes; Anatidae.
GUGGGAAACACAAAUUUUGGAUGUUACAGCUUGUGUAUCUCACUUCUCAUCGUGUCAGAGAAUCACAAACUCAUCUAGGCAUGAGGGAUGCCUCCUGAGACAGAAGUUUCCUCCUUGGUGUCAGAGAAGCCCUACAAGAAACUCAGAAAUCCGCAUGAAGACAGAUGCACCACUCCUUCAUCUCAUCAAUUAAAUGCCAAUAACGCUGCAUGAUGCUGAUUGCUGACUUCUCUCUUUUUUGGAAGAAAAACCAGAUUCACUACGUGAAAGGACUAACAAAGGACAGAAGCCCAUUUUAACCACAACCUCUCUUCCACACUUCUGCGGCCCUGGGAAUUUCAAAGGCUUUAUUUAGCAUUUCUUUGAGACAGAUAAAUAUUACCACAAAGUGGUGACUAGAAUUUUCAUUUUAUAGGAAAUUUCACUGUUUCAAUAUUUUCAUUUUGAAGUGGAGCAAAAUGGCACAGGAAAGUUCCCAUGAAAAAUAACUGAGGAAAAGGCUGGGUGGAAGGCAGCUCAAAUAAAAUGGUUCAAUUUUUCUUCUCUUCCCCCCUC